UACGUAGGGUGCAAGCGUUGUCCGGAAUUAUUGGGCGUAAAGAGCUCGUAGGCGGUCUGUCGCGUCUGCUGUGAAAACUCGGGGCUUAACCCCGGGCCUGCAGUGGGUACGGGCAGACUAGAGUGCGGUAGGGGAGACUGGAAUUCCUGGUGUAGCGGUGAAAUGCGCAGAUAUCAGGAGGAACACCGGUGGCGAAGGCGGGUCUCUGGGCCGUAACUGACGCUGAGACACGAAAGCGUGGGUAGCAAACAGG
This 253-nucleotide ribosomal RNA is filed under the name uncultured bacterium. RNAcentral describes it as "partial 16S ribosomal RNA". It matches the Rfam family "Bacterial small subunit ribosomal RNA", at positions 524 to 776 of the family's 1533-position model. The record is from RNAcentral.